Non-coding RNA from Turdus rufiventris (rufous-bellied thrush), 78 nucleotides. Lineage: Eukaryota; Metazoa; Chordata; Aves; Passeriformes; Turdidae. The record is from the annotation of a GenBank genome assembly.
GCCUGGGCUGGGGGAGCUCCGUGUGUUCUAAGUGUAUUCUAGGUGUGUUCUAGGUGUGUUCUAGGCGUGUUCUUGGCA